RNAcentral lists this ribosomal RNA (496 nucleotides) under uncultured bacterium. RNAcentral describes it as "partial 16S ribosomal RNA". It matches the Rfam family "Bacterial small subunit ribosomal RNA", at positions 28 to 507 of the family's 1533-position model. The record is from RNAcentral.
GACGAACGCUGGCGGCGUGCCUAAUACAUGCAAGUAGAACGCUGAAGCGAGGAGCUUACUCUUCUUGAUGAGUUGCGAACGGGUGAGUAACGCGUAGGUAACCUGCCUUGUAGCGGGGGAUAACUAUUGGAAACGAUAGCUAAUACCGCAUAACAAUGGAUGACACAUGUCAUUUAUUUGAAAGGGGCAAUUGCUCCACUACAAGAUGGACCUGCGUUGUAUUAGCUAGUAGGUGAGGUAAUGGCUCACCUAGGCGACGAUACAUAGCCGACCUGAGAGGGUGGUCGGCCACACUGGGACUGAGACACGGCCCAGACUCCUACGGGAGGCAGCAGUAGGGAAUCUUCGGCAAUGGGGGCAACCCUGACCGAGCAACGCCGCGUGAGGGAAGAAGGGUGUCGGAUCGUAAAGCUCGGUUGUAAGUCAAGAACGGGUGUGAGAGUGGAAAGUUCACACUGUGACGGUAGCUUACCAGAAAGGGACGGCUAACUACGUG